CUUUCCUUGGUAGGCCACUGGCAGGAACAUGUACGCUGUUGUAUUUGAUGCGGCUAAUUGCAAUCUCUAGCCUUCCUACCAUCCUCCCCUUUAUCCCUGUUGAUAUGCGAAUUAGGUAUCUAGCUAGCGAUGCCUCACUAUAUUAUGUUGCAGCAAAACAAUGAUAUAGAUUUGAAAAAUUAAUAAUCAAGUAUUACCUUCGUUUCAACAGAAAAUAAAUGGUUGGUGAACAAAUACAUAUGUACAAAAAGUCUGCACAAAUAGAUAUGUUCAAUGGAAAUAUGCAAAAUAAUAGUCCUAGGCAUCCAAGAUACAGUACUGUGUGCCAUAGAUAUAGCCUAAAAUCUAACUCUGAGUCUCUAGAUAAUGUGAACCUGUGCUUAAUUAUAAAACUUGUGAUUCAAAAUCACAUGAGCAAGUUUCAGAUUUAUAAAUAUACUCAUGCUUUCCGAUUAACCAUCCCAGCUAAAACACCAAGAAAUAUAUCAUGUUGACAACUUUACUACUUGCUUGCAGAAAGUGACAGUUAAAGAAGAACCAGAUGCCACUGAAGAUGCCAAUGGUAACCAUGUGUCUCAGUUUGUAUUAUAUAUGGGUUCUUUAUGCCUGCCUUUAAAUCCUUCUUAAUUUUCCCUGUGCAGUCCUAGCACUGCCAUAAGCAUCGCAAACCACUCGAGUACCUUCAUUCCCCGCGUAGAACUGUUCAAGAAAAGCACAUGUCAAACCAAGUUCGUCUUUCUCUCUGCAAACCUGCUCAAAAAUAGUAGUCGUCCAUUGAGACUUAUUAGUCCAUUGUUUCCCAUAUCUCAGCAGCGCGGAGGAGCCGGCUUCCCGUGUCAGAGAGUUGUGUGUAAUUGCGGGCUACUUCACCAUCAUCAGCCCAUUGGCAGGUAUGCUAGCUCCUACUCUUCUCUUCUUUGAUGCGAAUGCACAAAAGGUGACGCUCAAAUCUGGAGAGUAGCCAAUGAGAUGUAGUUUUAAAUUUUGUCUUUCUGCUGCAGUAUUGUAGGGAUGGACAUAUGGAUUGAGUGGUACCCUCCUGAAAGAUACACAUCUCAGCAGCCAAGAACUUCAAUAAAAAUGUAUAUCCCAACUCCUUUUAUAAUCUUGAAUGCUUCUCGGUCAAUGUCGGUGUCACUUCCAGUCUUGGUUGCUACCAGGAUGCCAGGUGCAAACUUCAUGGAGGCAUAAUGGCUCUAUACUAGCUUCUCUUGAUGAAUGAAGUAGUGCUGCUGAUAUGGACUAUCUGAACAAUCCACAUUAGGUGGGUUUCUGCAAUUAGUAAAAAAAAAUGACUAACGCAGUUAGCGGACUACAUGGGUGCACUGACCAAGCUCUAUUUAUAUUACCCGUUUUCCGUUUGAGUGAUGUUACUUUGCUUGAAAUUUUGAGAUUGCACUAUUAGCUUACUGUCAGGUCUGCACCAUUCUAGAUAUCAUCUUGACUUUUAACUUCUUCAAAUGCAAUAUUAGAUAACAUAAAUAGGAAAAAAUAUCAAAUUGUGAAACUGUAAGUAAUAGCCUCACCUAAAUAUUGAUCUGUUGUGUUAUUUCAGGGAAGAGGUAUGAAAUUCUCAACUUAGGAAGGAACAUCCAACCUGUAAUGUGUCGAUCACUAACUAAUAAACAUGAAUAUGAUGUUGGAAAGAAGCAAUUGGAUAUCAAAGCAAAAGGAUCACGGCUCCUCUUACAAAUCAGUGAAGUAUUCUAAUUCUGGCGAUCUAAGCGUCGGUCCAGGGUGAUUUACCUCUUCCAGCCACUUUCAGUUUGUUCCAAUUCAGUCCCCUCUUAGUUUGUGCUAAAAGAAAGUUAUUGUUAGGGAUUUGAGUUUACCCUUUUAACGUGUGCUUGUGCUAGAGCAGCGGCGCUCCCUCGGCUACGCCUGGGUGUUCGAGCUGUCAGUGUGGUACAGGAGCAUCAGCCACCACCGCUGCCAAGGAGCUCCAGCAACCACAUGAUCACUCUUGCUUCACAGACUAUGUAUGGUCAGUUCAGGUAAUUUUUCCUCGGUGAUUGUUGGCACCCAGGAUGUUACAAUCUUAUUCAUGAUCUAAUAAUUAGCUAGGAAUUUUUGAAAUAGGAUUUUAAUCAGUUAAUGUUUCUUCAUUUGGUCCAGAAAAUUGGAGGUUUUAGGAUCUUUGGAAGUUCUUUGAGGCAUCACCCUUCUUCUCCGCAGUUGAAAGGCCUUGAGCAGCUAAGAUAACUCAAAUGCGUACGCUCAUUCAAAGAACAUGGUUCAGGCCUUAACCAUGUAUGUUUGACGCAGUACAGCGUGGGGGAGGCGGUGUCCUCUGCAGCAAGGUCUACUUGCUGGCGACCUCACCAUCACCAACCCAUCUGCAGGUAUGCUAGCUCUUCAAAUGGAUUGAGUGGUACCCUCCUGAAAGUAUUGUAGGGAUGGACAUAUGGAUUGAUUGGUAGCCCCCUGAAAGCUACACAGAUUUGAACCAAUAACUUUAAUAAGAAUGUGUAUCCCAGCUCCUUUUAUAAUCUUGAAUCCUUAUCGGUCCUACUAAACUGUAAAUCAUGUUUCUUUUUGGAAACAAUAUUGGACUUAUACUAAUUAAGGUAGCUACAUGGGGACCUUUUGUUCUGCCCAGAUUUGAUGAUUUCUCUCAAUAUACUGCUGGUGAUGUAGUUGGCAAUGAUUGGGUGGGCGGUUCUUCGCAUUGCAGUCUGUAUUUAAGUUUGGACAAUUGGCUGCUAAUUUAUCAUGUGAAUAUGUUCUCUCUCUGCAGAUGAAGAUAGAAAAUAUUUGUUAUAUUCUUAUCCAAUUAGUUCACACCAUUGUUGUGAGCAACAGAAGAUUCAGAACUUUCAAGCUCCUUUUUUUCUUGCUAGCCAUGAAGGUGAUACUUUAGUAAAAGGUGCAUACAGUACUAACAUUUUUGCUAUCUUUAUGCUCCUCCAUAUGGAUGGGAACUAAAAGGAUGAUGAUAUUAUUCUACCUUUCAAUAUUUGGCGGCGCAUAUUUAAGAAAAUCACAGCUAAGCAUGUCACUUUCUAGAAAGGCGCUUCACUGGAAUUUAUAUGUAUAUAGUUAAUAAAAUCAUAGUGAUUGAUUUUUCAGUUCCUCUAUUUAGAUUAGAGGUGUCUGCAUGCAUAUUAGCCAAGUGAUUGGUCUUUCCAGUUUAAAAGAGAAAGUGACCGAUGGUUUGGCAUAUUUUCCUAUUAGGAAUAAAUGGAUAUGCCCAUGCACGUAUGCACACAGAUUUCAGGUUACAGUGUAAUUAGGAAACACAUGAUACCUCAUUGUGCCGUCUUGGUCUGAGAAGAGGGGAUAUACUUCGUGAAUAUAUAUGUUCCACCCAACCGUUGAUUUCAGAGAAAAGGACAUGCACUUCAGUAGCAAAAAUUUGAUUGUUACUAUGUACUAUCUGUAAUGCUAAGCAUUUAUUUGCUAAUCUCCUCAUCUGAAUUUGUGUUUUGUGCCAUUUGGCCUUUUAACUAUAUGGGCAUCUGCAGAUGGUCUGAAAACCAAGAUAUGCCAGAGAUAAUAACUAUAGUGGCUGCUCCAGAUGGACUAAGAAUGGGACCAUAUCCUAGGCCUACAUGCUAAUAUUGUACACCAAUGAAUGCUUCACUUAUUUAUACUUAUAAUCAGAUGUGUAAUGAUAAACGCGAUAUUAGCUUUUGUACCCAUCUUCAUGGUUGAAAUACUUUUCUGCAACCCGUGACACAUUUGCUUCAGU
RNA transcript from Aegilops tauschii subsp. strangulata, 3691 nucleotides. RefSeq lists it as uncharacterized. The record is from RefSeq and is a predicted model, not a curated record. Lineage: Eukaryota; Viridiplantae; Streptophyta; Magnoliopsida; Poales; Poaceae.